GCUCCCUUCGUCUAGUGGUUAGGACGUCGGCCUCUCACGCCGGUAACAGGGGUUCGAAUCCCCUAGGGAGCGCCA
RNAcentral lists this transfer RNA (75 nucleotides) under Marichromatium gracile. RNAcentral's name for it is "tRNA-Glu". It matches the Rfam family "tRNA". Rfam says of the family: Transfer RNA (tRNA) molecules are approximately 80 nucleotides in length. Their secondary structure includes four short double-helical elements and three loops (D, anti-codon, and T loops). Further hydrogen bonds mediate the characteristic L-shaped molecular structure. tRNAs have two regions of fundamental functional importance: the anti-codon, which is responsible for specific mRNA codon recognition, and the 3' end, to which the tRNAs corresponding amino acid is attached (by aminoacyl-tRNA synthetases). tRNAs cope with the degeneracy of the genetic code in two manners: having more than one tRNA (with a specific anti-codon) for a particular amino acid; and 'wobble' base-pairing, i.e. permitting non-standard base-pairing at the 3rd anti-codon position. Lineage: Bacteria; Pseudomonadati; Pseudomonadota; Gammaproteobacteria; Chromatiales; Chromatiaceae. RNAcentral also lists the same sequence under 18 other names. The record is from RNAcentral.